Long non-coding RNA from Hemicordylus capensis (graceful crag lizard), 750 nucleotides. RefSeq lists it as uncharacterized. The record is from RefSeq and is a predicted model, not a curated record. Lineage: Eukaryota; Metazoa; Chordata; Lepidosauria; Squamata; Cordylidae. The transcript is spliced from 4 exons.
UGACCACUGCCUGCGACCUCCGAUGAGCAAAAUCCCAUGGUCCCUGAGGCUACUGAAAAGACCCUCCAUUGCUCUGUCCUUCCCAGCCUUUCAAGCUGAACAACUGCUCUGAACUGUGUGCCUGCAGAAUCCAGAAUGGCAGUGCAGAUGACUAAUUCUAAUCCAUAGGGCCCACAUACAGGGGGAACAUCCUAGGAUACAGCAGAGUCCUCAACACAGACACAGACCCACAGACUGAGCCCCUUCACAUGAUCAUAUGGGGGUGGAUUAGUUGGCGUGUUUACACAGUGCAAUAUACUCUGGAUCAUAUAUGCAUUAAAACUGCAGUAUGUGAAGUGACCCCCUAAAGAGACUGGCUGAUAUCGGCUUUCCUGACUCGUCACCUCCAGAUUCAGUUAUACCAAGGGCUCCAUGCAUCAUUAUCCCAUGACACUGAAGACUGAAAUGGUAUCGACAAACAUUAAUUGGAACCUUAAAAGUGGUUUGGGCAAUAUUCUUUCAAUAGAUUCUUUAAAAAAUAAAGGAUGAAGAAAUGAAAGGAUGGUCUUGAUGCUAAUAAGAACAAUAAUGCAAAAUGAAGAACUCAUUACAAGGGGAUAAAGAGAGUUUUGCAAAACUCAAGAGGGUUAUUCCAAGAAAGAUAUAAUAUAGGAAAAGCUGCACAUACAUAGGCAGAAAAGAAACUAGAGACGAAGAAGCACUGAGAUGGAUAUAGUUCCAAAGAUUAGAUAAAGCAUACUGGAUGACAUC